CCUUACCUGGCCUUGACAUACUAAGAACUUUCCAGAGAUGGAUUGGUGCCUUCGGGAACUUAGAUACAGGUGCUGCAUGGCUGUCGUCAGCUCGUGUCGUGAGAUGUUGGGUUAAGUCCCGCAACGAGCGCAACCCUUUUCCUUAUUUGCCAGCGGGUUAAGCCGGGAACUUUAAGGAUACUGCCAGUGACAAACUGGAGGAAGGCGGGGACGACGUCAAGUCAUCAUGGCCCUUACGGCCAGGGCUACGCACGUGCUACAAUGGUCGGUACAAAGGGUUGCUACCUCGCGAGAGGAUGCUAAUCUCAAAAAGCCGAUCGUAGUCCGGAUCGCAGUCUGCAACUCGACUGCGUGAAGUCGGAAUCGCUAGUAAUCGCGGAUCAGAAUGCCGCGGUGAAUACGUUCCCGGGCCUUGUACACACCGCCCGUCACACCAUGGGAGUUUGUUGCACCAGAAGUAGGUAGUCUAACCGCAAGGAGGACGCUUACCACGGUGUGGCCGAUGACUGGGGUGAAGUCGUAACAAGGUAGGCGUAGAUGA
RNAcentral lists this ribosomal RNA (541 nucleotides) under uncultured bacterium. Its description in RNAcentral is "bacterial SSU rRNA". It matches the Rfam family "Bacterial small subunit ribosomal RNA", at positions 969 to 1509 of the family's 1533-position model. The record is from RNAcentral.